Molecule: long non-coding RNA, 752 nt
Organism: Carassius auratus (goldfish)
Lineage: Eukaryota; Metazoa; Chordata; Actinopteri; Cypriniformes; Cyprinidae
Exons: 3
Source: RefSeq, a predicted model, not a curated record
CGCUUGUACGUUAUGUGUAAAUUAAUGUUAUUCUGUUACUUGAGAUUAAUAUAUCAAGAGGAUAAUCGACAAUAAUGAUUUGUCAUAAAUAAUUUGGCAGCCUGACCCUGUACUAAAUACUUUUUUUUUCUUUGUAGCAUUUUAAACUUUUUUUCUUUUCUUUGCUGAAUUGCCCAUAAACAAGACCUCUGUAAUUUAUGUCUUCAGAUUAAUGCUGAAUUUCGUCGGAUCACAACCCUUACUUUACAAUCCAAAUUCCUGUCCCAACUGUAUCAGUUUUCUGAUGAUCAGCUGAAAGUGUUUACCAAAAAGGGUGGAGCGUUUAGAAAAAGCAUUCGGGAUGUGAUGGUGCCAAUGUCUCAGAAUGGAGACCAAGCAAGAGUGCAUUCUCAAGGGGCUAUGCAUCCACCUGAAUGAAGAUCCACAGGAUCUGGUGAAUGGAGUAUUUGGAUGAUGACCCUGCAAGAAACAAAGCGGACAUCAAGAAGACCUUUUGGGGAUCUGUGUUGUAAAGCAUGAAUUUUCUGAUGCAACAGAAGACCCUGAAGAUAUCGGCAUUGUACUGGAAGAUGUGGAGGUGCUCUCUGGUUUAGGUAAUGUAGCAUUGGCUACAGCCCUGCUACUUGGACUAAUAUAAUCUUUAAAACUUACUCAUCCACAGGAGUUCCAUUACACUUUUAAGAUGCUCCAAAAAAUGAUUCUUGAACUGGACUUGAGUAAAUUGUCUGCCAAAGCACGGGCACUGAAAACAA